This 89-nucleotide small nuclear RNA is filed under the name Catagonus wagneri (Chacoan peccary). RNAcentral's name for it is "U2 spliceosomal RNA (ENSCWAG00000021436.1)". It matches the Rfam family "U2 spliceosomal RNA". Rfam says of the family: U2 is a small nuclear RNA (snRNA) component of the spliceosome (involved in pre-mRNA splicing). Complementary binding between U2 snRNA (in an area lying towards the 5' end but 3' to hairpin I) and the branchpoint sequence (BPS) of the intron results the bulging out of an unpaired adenosine, on the BPS, which initiates a nucleophilic attack at the intronic 5' splice site, thus starting the first of two transesterification reactions that mediate splicing. The record is from Rfam by way of RNAcentral. Lineage: Eukaryota; Metazoa; Chordata; Mammalia; Artiodactyla; Tayassuidae.
AUUGCUUCUUGGCCUUUUGGCUAAGAUCAAGUGUAGAAUUUGCUUCUUUUCAUGUUGUGUAUCUAUUAAACUUUUACUUAUUAACAUUU